ACUGGGACCCAGACACGGCCCAGACUCCUACGGGAGGCAGCAGUGAGGAAUUUUCCGCAAUGGGCGAAAGCCUGACGGAGCCCCACCGCGUGAGGGAAGAAGGCCCUUGGGUUGUAAACCUCUUUUUUCAGGAAAGAAGAACUGACGGUACCUGAGGAAUAAGCCUCGGCUAACUCCGGGCCAGCAGCCGGGGUAAUACGGAGGAGGGAAGCGUUAUUCGGAAUUAUUGGGGGUAAAGCGGCCGCAGGGAGCGACUAUAAGUCUGCUGUCAAAGACCGCAGCUCACCUGCGGAAAGGCAGGGGAAACUGUCAGACUAGAGUGCGGGAGGGGUAGGGGGAAUUCCCAGUGUAGCGGUGAAAUGCGCAUAUAUUGGGGAGAACACCGGUGGCGAAAGCGCCCUACUAGACCGCAACUGACACUCAGGGACGAAAGCCAGGG
RNAcentral lists this ribosomal RNA (439 nucleotides) under uncultured cyanobacterium. RNAcentral's name for it is "bacterial SSU rRNA". It matches the Rfam family "Bacterial small subunit ribosomal RNA", at positions 312 to 765 of the family's 1533-position model. Lineage: Bacteria; Bacillati; Cyanobacteriota. The record is from RNAcentral.